Molecule: unclassified non-coding RNA, 209 nt
Filed under: plant metagenome
Description: partial contains small subunit ribosomal RNA, internal transcribed spacer 1, and 5.8S ribosomal RNA
Source: RNAcentral
UCUCCGUUGGUGAAUCAGCGGAGGGAUCAUUACUGGAAUCGCAAGAUCCCACAACCCUGUGAACCUACCGAAACGUUGCCUCGGCGGGUGCCCGGCCUCUGCGCCGGGCGCUGCGCCCGCCGGCGGCCCCCUACUCUGUCUCUGCAGCGUGGCAUCUCAGAGUCCCAGAAAACAAGUCAAAACUUUCAACAACGGAUCUCUUGGCUCUA